RNAcentral lists this ribosomal RNA (254 nucleotides) under uncultured bacterium. RNAcentral's name for it is "partial 16S ribosomal RNA". It matches the Rfam family "Bacterial small subunit ribosomal RNA", at positions 524 to 776 of the family's 1533-position model. The record is from RNAcentral.
UACGUAGGGUGCAAGCGUUGUCCGGAAUUAUUGGGCGUAAAGAGCUCGUAGGCGGUUCGUCGCGUCGGCUGUGAAAUCCCGAGGCUCAACCUCGGGUCUGCAGUCGAUACGAGCAAACUAGAGUGUUGCAGGGGAGACUGGAAUUCCUGGUGUAGCGGUGAAAUGCGCAGAUAUCAGGAGGAACACCGGUGGCGAAGGCGGGUCUCUGGGCCGUAACUGACGCUGGAGGAGCGAAAGCAUGGGGAGCGAACAGG